CCCUAGCCCUGAUGGGAACGGCAUCCUUUUUUGUCAUUGCGAUUGCUGAUAAGUUCAAUUGAUAACUUCACUUCGUUCGCAAUGACAAAAAAGAUAUAGUGGACAGCAGGUUCCCGG
Chryseobacterium sp. Leaf394 is the source of this 117-nucleotide small RNA. It matches the Rfam family "Flavo-1 RNA". The record is from Rfam. Lineage: Bacteria; Pseudomonadati; Bacteroidota; Flavobacteriia; Flavobacteriales; Weeksellaceae.